RNAcentral lists this ribosomal RNA (446 nucleotides) under uncultured bacterium. RNAcentral describes it as "partial 16S ribosomal RNA". It matches the Rfam family "Bacterial small subunit ribosomal RNA", at positions 338 to 795 of the family's 1533-position model. The record is from RNAcentral.
CCUACGGGAGGCAGCAGUAGGGAAUUUUCGGCAAUGGGGGGAACCCUGACCGAGCAACGCCGCGUGAACGAAGAAGUUAUUCGUAAUGUAAAGUUCUUUUAACAGGGAAGAAAGAGAAAUUUGACGGUACCUGAAGAAUAAGCUCCGGCUAACUACGUGCCAGCAGCCGCGGUAAUACGUAGGGAGCGAGCGUUAUCCGGAAUUAUUGGGUUUAAAGGGUGCGUAGGCGGACUGUUAAGUCAGCGGUAAAAGCCCGGGGCUCAACCCCGGCGAGCCGUUGAAACUGGCUGUCUUGAGAUGUCGAGAGGUAUGCGGAAUGCGCAGUGUAGCGGUGAAAUGCUUAGAUAUUGCGCAGAACUCCGAUUGCGAAGGCAGCAUACCGGCGGCGAUCUGACGCUGAGGCACGAAAGCGUGGGUAUCGAACAGGAUUAGAUACCCCGGUAGUC